This 1226-nucleotide ribosomal RNA is filed under the name metagenome. RNAcentral's name for it is "bacterial LSU rRNA". It matches the Rfam family "Bacterial large subunit ribosomal RNA", at positions 1713 to 2913 of the family's 2925-position model. The record is from RNAcentral.
CUCGGCAAAUCACUCCCGUGCCUUCGGUAUAAGAGAGACCCCUGAUGGUGAUGGAACUUGCUUCCGGAGCUUUCGGGGGUGGCACAGACCAGGGGGUAGCGACUGUUUACCAAAAACACAGGUGCAUGCGAAGGCGCAAGCCGCUGUAUAUGCACUGACGCCUGCCCGGUGCCGGAAGGUUAAGAGGAUCCGUCAGCCCUUUGGGUGAAGCGGUGAAUUCAAGCCCCGGUAAACGGCGGUGGUAACAAUAACCAUCCUAAGGUAGCGAAAUUCCUUGUCGGGUAAGUUCCGACCUGCACGAAUGGCGUAACGACUUCCCCACUGUCUCGACCAGGAGCUCGGCGAAAUUGCAGUACGAGUAAAGAUGCUCGUUAAGCGCAGAAGGACGAAAAGACCCCGGGACCUUUACUAUACCUUGGUAUUGGCGUUAGGCGCGGAUUGUGUAGCAUAGGCGGGAGGCUUCGAAGCGCGGGCGCCAGCCCGUGUGGAGCCGCAAGGUGAAAUACCGCUCUGUUCUCGUUUGACGUCUCACCUCGAACAGUCAUCCUGUUCAGGGACAGUGCCUGGCGGGUAGUUUAACUGGGGCGGUUGCCUCCCAAAGAGUAACGGAGGCGCUCAAAGGUCCGCUCAGCCCGGUUGGCAAUCGGGUUUCGAGUGUAAUCGCACAAGCGGGCUUGACUGCGAGAACGACGGUUCGGGCAGGGACGAAAGUCGGAGAUAGUGAUCCGGUGCCGGCGCACGGGCGCGGCAUCGCUCAACGGAUAAAAGGUACCCCGGGGAUAACAGGCUGAUCAUUCCCAAGAGUCCAUAUCGACGGGAUGGUUUGGCACCUCGAUGUCGGCUCGUCGCAUCCUGGGGCUGGAGCAGGUCCCAAGGGUUCGGCUGUUCGCCGAUUAAAGCGGCACGCGAGCUGGGUUCAGAACGUCGUGAGACAGUUUGGUCUCUAUCCUCUGCGCUCGUUGGAAUCCUGAGGAGGCCUGCCCAUAGUACGAGAGGACCUGGGUGGACGGACCUCUGGUAUGCCGGUUGUCGCGCCAGCGGCAUGGCCGGUUGGCUACGUUCGGGAGGGAUAACCGCUGAAAGCAUCUAAGCGGGAAGCCUGCUCCAAGAUUAGGAUUCCUUGACGCUCCCCGGAGCGUUUGUAGCCCGCAUGUUGAACACGUGUUCGAUAGGCCGGAGGUGGAAGUCCCGCGAGGGAUGGAGCCGACCGGUACUAACGGGCGAAC